This 67-nucleotide non-coding RNA is filed under the name Stygamoeba regulata. The record is from RNAcentral. Lineage: Eukaryota; Discosea; Stygamoebida.
ACAGAAACACACACCAGCGAACGAGUUUGUCAAGCCACGGAAUCUGCUUUUCUCUUCUUCUCUUGAU